Molecule: long non-coding RNA, 368 nt
Organism: Musa acuminata AAA Group (dessert banana)
Lineage: Eukaryota; Viridiplantae; Streptophyta; Magnoliopsida; Zingiberales; Musaceae
Exons: 5
Source: RefSeq, a predicted model, not a curated record
CCGGUUCUUUGUCCGGCGAGGACACACCAUUGCGUCAGAUCUCCAGUUCCCCUUCACUCCUCGUCUCUGUCUUCAUACUCUUCUCGAACCGCCGCUUCAUCUUCGAUGAACGACGCGUACGCCAGAUCCGUCUCCGAGGUUCUCGAAGAAUUUGGUGUAGAUCCAACCAAGGGUCUUACUGAUUUCCAGGUUGCCGAGAAUGCGUAGAUAUAUGGCAGAAACGUACUGCCUCAAGAAGAAAUUGUGUGGUCUAUCAUUCUGAGCAACAACUGUUUGUAAAGCUGUGGUCUCUUUCUGAGUAGUCCAUCCGAAAGUAAAAAGACUCGGCAUUUUGGAAGCUUCACCACCAUUAUAUGCAGUAUUUUGAU